UUGAACAUUCAAUUGACUAUCUCAAGCUUACAUGCAUAUAUAAAGAGCCCUGUUCUUGUUCUUUACUUUCUUCAUACCAUAAAAUAAUAAAAACUUGAUCACUAAAUCAUACCAACAAAAUGGUAUUGUUGCCAAAGCUUCGAUUGAUUGUCAUCCUCGUCAUAUGUUGUCUCCUAGUUACUUAUCAAUCAACAGAUGUAAGAGAGAAUGGUUAUCAUCCAAGUUGGUGCGUCUAUAGAGGUCCAUGCCAAACCCACAGAGAUUGUAAGAGACAAUGUCGACCACCGGACUUCCCACCGUUUACAAUUGGCUUAUGCCAACCCAAUCCUAGAGGUCAUGGCAAAAUUUGUUGUUGUGCCAAAGAUUAAUUCUCCGAUAUUAUAGACUAAUUAAAAACAAAAUAUAACUCUAUCUACUUCUUAAUAUCGACAUAAUAAUUUGUGGUUGUGCCAAAGAAUAAUUUUCCGAUAUUUAUAGCCUAACUAUAUUUUAAUGCGGUAUACCGUUAUAUAAAUUUUAUAAAAAAAGCCUAAUUUUUUUUAAAAAUA
Camelina sativa (false flax) is the source of this 548-nucleotide non-coding RNA. NCBI's taxonomy places the organism in Eukaryota, Viridiplantae, Streptophyta, Magnoliopsida, Brassicales, Brassicaceae. The record is from RefSeq and is a predicted model, not a curated record.